Long non-coding RNA from Cyprinus carpio (common carp), 1436 nucleotides. RefSeq lists it as uncharacterized. The record is from RefSeq and is a predicted model, not a curated record. NCBI's taxonomy places the organism in Eukaryota, Metazoa, Chordata, Actinopteri, Cypriniformes, Cyprinidae.
CUUUUCUCAAACAGAUGUCCCAUUUAGUUGGAAAUUAGAAUGUGUAAAAACCCAGGAGACUCAAAUUAUUUCCAAGUUCUCCGGGAGGAGGGAGACGGAGAAGAAAAGAGGAGCACGGAAAAGAAAGGAGUGGCGAGGCAAGGAGAGAAAAAGAGGAAAAGGGAGGGAGAGGGAUACAUAUCCUCCUCCUCAGGAAGUGUGAAAGUGUGUUGAUUAGCCAUCGCUGUGGGGCAGCUAAUUCUGACGCCCGACCACACGCCACAGCCAGCACUGAAAAGACACUAGAGAGGAAGGACAAGAUGAAUGCAGGAUGGGUACGAACCAUUGUAUGGUAAACAGAUUCAGCGUUUAUGAGAAUGUAAAGAAAUUUCCCAGAGCUGCACACACUCACAUAUGUGACUCGAGAGAGGAGUUUCACCUUGGAGACCAAUUUACAGCAGAAUGACUGACACAUGGAAAUCGGACUGAAAAAAGUGGAGUGCUGGAGUAUUUGGUCCACACCUUGAAGGCCCUUGAUUCAGGUCAACAUUCCUCAAUGGAGCAAAGCAUUAGGCUACAAGACAACCCUUGGAAUAAUGCUCAAAGUUUAGCUUUUUUUUUUUUACUUUUUGCUUUUUUCCCCCGCGAAAAAAAAAAAAAAAUUGUUUGUUGCUGAUGUUUUAAAUCAUGGCCAAUGAUUAUGCAUAAUUUGCUGUUAUCAGGGUCAAAUAUCAAAAAAGUGCAGUGCUAAAAAACUGCCAUAGAUAUUUAAAAUGUGGAUCAAAAAAUGAAAUUUUUUUUAUAUGUGAUGCUGUACAUAUACAUAUCAAUAUAUGGCUAUAACAAUAUAUAAAGUUAUAAUAUAUUAUAAUAUUUUAUUCUAGGCCUAUCUAGUUUCAGGAUUAAACACUACAGUGAAUAUAUAAAUAUUUUAGUUCAUAUAAAUUACUUAAUAAAUAAAGACUAAUGGACAACAAACUGUUUUAUAUUGUAGAAAAAAAUGUCCUCAUAAAGGUUUUAAGUUAUUAAAAAAUAACUUUUUGGUACAACAAACUAAAUGUUCUGUCUAACAAUAAUAUGGUCCAUUUUUUUAAUAAGUAAAAAAAAAAACAUAUAUAAAGGUAAUAAAUGGAGGUUUAAAGAACUUUAGAGGGUAAAAAACUUUUCUGACACCGAACAUUGCUAUUAUAUUGGUGGUGAAAAAAAAAAAAUUAAAAUAAUAAAUAAAUAUAAUAAAUAAAUAAAUACAACCAGGACUAUAGUGGGCUUUCUAAUUAAUUAAUUCUAAUUAAUCAAUUAAAUUACAUGACUGGACAACAAAUUGGGAUUAAAAAAUAAUAGUAAGGUAAUAUGUGGAAGUUUAAAAGAAAUCACAUUUCUGACACUGACAAGUACAAUUACAUUUGCAUUUGUGUCAUGAAAAUAAAAGCUUUUUUUCUGUUUGAAACUGAAAUAAA